Molecule: ribosomal RNA, 384 nt
Filed under: Triticum aestivum (bread wheat)
Lineage: Eukaryota; Viridiplantae; Streptophyta; Magnoliopsida; Poales; Poaceae
Description: partial small subunit ribosomal RNA
Source: RNAcentral
AUGCGGUCGAGGCAGCGGCGGCAUAGUAGGAGGCUGCGGCUGCCGCCUUGGAAGCCGGCGCCGACGCCUCCGGCCGUCUCUUGCGCCUCCAUUUCUUGGAGGAAGCUGGCGAAAUUCUGCUCGAUCGUAGUGGUUUGUAGCCUACCCCGAAUCACAAAGAGAAACACCAAGAUAUUUGGCGAUAAAGAAAAGGAAUUUUGUCGUCUCCUAAUAAUUCUUACGCUUCUCGUAGCAUCUCUGGAAACAACACAACGGACGGACCAAUCGAUCAAGAAGUUAAGGCCCUGUUCGGUACCGCUCCAUAACUUCGAGAGCGGAGUUGGCGGAGCUGCAGUUCAAAACGGCGAAGUUGCAAUUUCCCUGCUUCGCAGAUUUCGGGAGUGA